Molecule: ribosomal RNA, 423 nt
Filed under: Dendropsophus cf. mathiassoni ABGD cluster 82
Lineage: Eukaryota; Metazoa; Chordata; Amphibia; Anura; Hylidae
Description: partial large subunit ribosomal RNA
Rfam family: Bacterial large subunit ribosomal RNA
Source: RNAcentral
CUUGACAUAUAUAAGAGGUCCAGCCUGCCCAGUGACUAAGUUCAACGGCCGCGGUAUCCUAACCGUGCGAAGGUAGCGUAAUCACUUGUUCUUUAAAUGAGGACUAGUAUGAAUGGCACCACGAGGGUUAUACUGUCUCCUUUUUUUAAUCAAUGAAACUGAUCUCCCCGUGAAGAAGCGGGGAUAAAUUUAUAAGACGAGAAGACCCUAUGGAGCUUUAAACAAUUAUAGCACUGGCCCACACCUCUUAUUCUUCUGAGACAUAAUUAUUAUACAGGCCAACAUGACUAUUAGUUUUAGGUUGGGGUGACCGCGGAGCAAAAACUAACCUCCACGUUGAACGGAGCUACUCCUGAACUAAAAGCUACAACUUUAAGCACCAAUAAACUGACAUCAAUUGACCCAAUAUAUUGAACAACGAAC